ACUCUUCAGCCUCCAUCUCCUAACCCAAUUCCCUCAUUCUUUGUUCUUUACCGCAACCCUCUUUCUCUCUCUCUCUCCAUUUUCGAUUUAAUCCAUCUCCGGUCCAUUUAACAGACAGAACACAGCAACCUGCUAGGCUGUAACCAGCAACCCAUCUCCGGUCUCCGAGCUCCGCCUCCAGCCUUUCAAGCCCCACCGGCCACUGCCGAACUCGGGGUUGAAGACUUGGAGCACUCCCGAGUCCCGAACACGGAACACAACGAGCAAGGCUAUAACCAGCAACCAGCAACCCGUCUCCUCCUGUCCGGUCUCCGAGCUCCGCCUCCAGGACACAGCUCUUCAAAUCACCUAAUGCUUCCCAUCCAGAGACACAAUGGAGGGAGAUUCACGAAAUGCUUCUCUUGUUAACAAUUAAAGCAGCGAGAGCCGGCACUAACAGCUGCGGUUGCAGAGAAGGCAAGAUCGCCAGGGCCAAGAAGGUCGUCAUUGGGGUUUUGUUCUUACAUUUUCGUGAAGCUUCACUUCCAUUUUCUCUUACAAAAAUAUUGAGUUUUGUUCUUCCUUUUCUGUAUGUUAUGUGAAACUUAUUACCUCUUAUCCUUUUCUGCUCUGUUCAUGGUAUGAAUUGUUCGAUUAUGAUCAUUGGAAAUCUUUUUUCCUGGCACCUAAAAGUGUUCCAUCCUCUUCUUCGUGUUGUUUGGUUUGUAUAACCUACUGCUUUCUGCACUUACUGAUUUUAUUAUUUAUUUACAUCCCUCAUAUAUACUAUAUAGUGUCCAAUACAGGUAAAGGAGUUUCAGUCUGGCAAAAGUUGUUAGAAUCUCAGAGUAGUUGCAUAUAUUCAAGAAGUUGGAAAGUCCAGGUUUUUAAACUCCUACAGGCAAGGGUUUGAGAGUUUUAAGGAUUUUGCCCCAAGAUGAGUUUCAAUGUUGCUGGCAAGCUGUUUAUUCUGCAGUGUGGUUGCUGCAGUGUUGUUGUUUAUGGAGUUACUGGGAUUCUCAACCAAAAAAUGGCUAACAACUGGGGUCUCGGCACAAUAUUGCUCACUCUUGUGGUUAAAAUUUGGUUGGACAUGAAUUGUACUUUGAACUGAUAUGUAAGCAGUACAUUGUAGUAGGAGACCUCUUUGUAGUUUUUUUUUUUUA
Molecule: long non-coding RNA, 1145 nt
Organism: Rosa chinensis
Lineage: Eukaryota; Viridiplantae; Streptophyta; Magnoliopsida; Rosales; Rosaceae
Exons: 5
Source: RefSeq, a predicted model, not a curated record